RNAcentral lists this long non-coding RNA (706 nucleotides) under Gallus gallus (chicken). Lineage: Eukaryota; Metazoa; Chordata; Aves; Galliformes; Phasianidae. The record is from RNAcentral.
CAGAUAAGCCCUGAGUAAACAACAAAGGGGAAUGUCCCAUACCCUCUCAUUAAUAAAAAGGCGUAAGACAAGCACCAAUUGGGAGGCUGGUCACGUGUUGCAUGCCUGCCAAGAGACCAUUCAGAUGAGGGAAGGGAGGAGAUAGGGAUCCAGACAAGAAAGGACUGUGCCAAAAAGAAGGGUUUCCAGGAAGCAGAAGUGGUCUUGGAGAGAAAACAGGGGUCUCAAAAAGGAAACAGUGAAGAUCCUGGCUGGAAGGAAGAUCCUGGAAGAGAAGGAGAUGGGUGGAGACCAGUGCCAGCAGACCUUGCCCCAGGACUGCUACCUGGAGCAGCUGCCCACUGCCAGCUAACACAGCUCCCUGCUGGAUUUCCCCAGGCCAGCAGCAACCUCCCUGCUGGGAAGGAUGAUUACUUCGUAUCAAGAAUAGAGAGAGAGCCUUCUCCCGGAGCCGAAGUAGUGAGGACUGAUGAGCUGCUCGCAUUUCCUCCUCCUUCAUGUACUGUCUUACCAUCUCCAUAGUAAAUUUAGAGAAACUAUCUUGCCCUCCUGAGAAAGGCAUGCUUAGCUCCUGAAUGGCAAGACAAAUUUGGCAUGGUUUGUUAAUAAAGAAAUUUCAAAGCCUUUUUCAAGUACAAACUGUGUGUAUGCACAUGGUUCAGCAUAAGAAGGGAAUUUGUUUUUUCUCUCUGAGCUACUAUAAGAC